RNAcentral lists this ribosomal RNA (441 nucleotides) under uncultured Campylobacter sp. RNAcentral's name for it is "bacterial SSU rRNA". It matches the Rfam family "Bacterial small subunit ribosomal RNA", at positions 338 to 795 of the family's 1533-position model. The record is from RNAcentral. Lineage: Bacteria; Pseudomonadati; Campylobacterota; Epsilonproteobacteria; Campylobacterales; Campylobacteraceae.
CCUACGGGGGGCAGCAGUAGGGAAUAUUGCGCAAUGGGGGAAACCCUGACGCAGCAACGCCGCGUGGAGGAUGACACUUUUCGGAGCGUAAACUCCUUUUGUUAGGGAAGAAUAAUGACGGUACCUAACGAAUAAGCACCGGCUAACUCCGUGCCAGCAGCCGCGGUAAUACGGAGGGUGCAAGCGUUACUCGGAAUCACUGGGCGUAAAGGACGCGUAGGCGGAUUAUCAAGUCUCUUGUGAAAUCUAGUGGCUUAACCACUAAACUGCUUGGGAAACUGAUAAUCUAGAGUAAGGGAGAGGCAGAUGGAAUUCUUGGUGUAGGGGUAAAAUCCGUAGAGAUCAAGAAGAAUACUUAUUGCGAAGGCGAUCUGCUAGAACUUAACUGACGCUAAUGCGUGAAAGCGUGGGGAGCAAACAGGAUUAGAUACCCGGGUAGUC